CCUACGGGUGGCAGCAGUAGGGAAUAUUGCUCAAUGGGGGAAACCCUGAAGCAGCAACGCCGCGUGGAGGAUGAAGGUUUUCGGAUUGUAAACUCCUUUUGUUAGAGAAGAUAAUGACGGUAUCUAACGAAUAAGCACCGGCUAACUCCGUGCCAGCAGCCGUGGUAAUACGGAGGGUGCAAGCGUUACUCGGAAUCACUGGGCGUAAAGAGCGCGUAGGCGGGAUAGCAAGUCAGAUGUGAAAUCCUAUGGCUUAACCAUAGAACUGCAAUUGAAACUGUUAUUCUAGAGUAUGGGAGAGGUAGGUGGAAUUCUUGGUGUAGGGGUAAAAUGCGUAGAGAUCAAGAAGAAUACUGAUUGCGAAGGCGACCUGCUAGAACAUAACUGACGCUGACGCGCGAAAGCGUGGGGAGCAAACAGGAUUAGAUACCCCAGUAGUC
RNAcentral lists this ribosomal RNA (440 nucleotides) under uncultured bacterium. Its description in RNAcentral is "partial 16S ribosomal RNA". It matches the Rfam family "Bacterial small subunit ribosomal RNA", at positions 338 to 795 of the family's 1533-position model. The record is from RNAcentral.